AGUGAACGCUGGCGGUAGGCCUAACACAUGCAAGUCGAACGGCAGCACAGUAAGAGCUUGCUCUUACGGGUGGCGAGUGGCGGACGGGUGAGGAAUAUAUCGGAAUCUACUUUUUCGUGGGGGAUAACGUAGGGAAACUUACGCUAAUACCGCAUACGACCUACGGGUGAAAGCAGGGGAACUUCGGACCUUGCGCGAAUGAAUGCGCGGAUGUCGGAUUAGUUAGUUGGCGGGUUAAAGGCCCACCAAGGCGACGAUCCGUAGCUGGUCUGAGAGGAUGAUCAGCCACACUGGAGCUGAGACACGGUCCAGACUCCUACGGGAGGCAGCAGUGGGGAAUAUUGGACAAUGGGCGCAAGCCUGAUCCAGCCAUACCGCGUGGGUGAAGAAGGCCUUCGGGUUGUAAAGCCCUUUUGUUGGGAAAGAAAAGCAGCAGGUUAAUACCCCGCUGUUCUGACGGUACCCAAAGAAUAAGCACCGGCUAACUUCGUG
Molecule: ribosomal RNA, 492 nt
Filed under: uncultured bacterium
Lineage: Bacteria
Description: partial 16S ribosomal RNA
Rfam family: Bacterial small subunit ribosomal RNA
Source: RNAcentral